GAUGAACGCUGGCGGCGUGCCUAAUACAUGCAAGUCGAGCGAACAGACGAGGAGCUUGCUCCUCUGACGUUAGCGGCGGACGGGUGAGUAACACGUGGAUAACCUACCUAUAAGACUGGGAUAACUUCGGGAAACCGGAGCUAAUACCGGAUAAUAUAUUGAACCGCAUGGUCCAAUAGUGAAAGACGGUUUUGCUGUCACUUAUAGAUGGAUCCGCGCCGCAUUAGCUAGUUGGUAAGGUAAAGGCUUACCAAGGCAACGAUGGGUAGCCGACCUGAGAGGGUGAUCAGCCACACUGGAACUGAGACACGGUCCAGACUCAUACGGGAGGCAGCAGUAGGGAAUCUUCCGCAUAGGGCGAAAGCCUGACGGAGCAACGCCGAGUGAGUGAUGAAGGUCUUCGGAUCGUAAAACUCUGUUAUUAGGGAAGAACAAAUGUGUAAGUAACUAUGCACGUCUUGACGGUACCUAAUCAGAAAGCCACGGCUAACUACGUG
Molecule: ribosomal RNA, 497 nt
Filed under: uncultured bacterium
Lineage: Bacteria
Description: partial 16S ribosomal RNA
Rfam family: Bacterial small subunit ribosomal RNA
Source: RNAcentral